UGGUGUUGUUAGCGUGGUGGAACCACACCGAACCAUCCCGAACUCGGAGGUGAAACGCCGCAGCUGCGAAGAUACUAGGCGGGUGACUGCCUGGGAAAAUAGCUCGAUGCC
Molecule: ribosomal RNA, 111 nt
Filed under: Microseira wollei NIES-4236
Lineage: Bacteria; Bacillati; Cyanobacteriota; Cyanophyceae; Aerosakkonematales; Aerosakkonemataceae
Source: RNAcentral